UACGGAGGAUGCAAGCGUUAUCCGGAUUCAUUGGGUUUAAAGGGUGCGUAGGCGGCUUUUUAAGUCAGCGGUGAAAUUUUGCAGCUUAACUGUAACAGUGCCGUUGAUACUGGGGAGCUAGGAUUUGGUUGCUGUGGGUGGAAUGUGUGGUGUAGCGGUGAAAUGCUUAGAGAUCACACAGAAUAUCGAUUGCGAAGGCAGCUCACAAAGCAAAGAUUGACGCUGAGGCACGAAAGUGUGGGGAUCAAACAGGAUUAGA
RNAcentral lists this ribosomal RNA (259 nucleotides) under uncultured prokaryote. RNAcentral's name for it is "partial 16S ribosomal RNA". It matches the Rfam family "Bacterial small subunit ribosomal RNA", at positions 524 to 782 of the family's 1533-position model. The record is from RNAcentral.